GCAGUGGUGGUUCAGUGAUAGAAUUCUAGCCUUCAGUGCAGGAGACCCAGGUUUGAUUCAUGGCCAAUGCA
Molecule: transfer RNA, 71 nt
Filed under: Loxodonta africana (African savanna elephant)
Lineage: Eukaryota; Metazoa; Chordata; Mammalia; Proboscidea; Elephantidae
Rfam family: tRNA
About the family: Transfer RNA (tRNA) molecules are approximately 80 nucleotides in length. Their secondary structure includes four short double-helical elements and three loops (D, anti-codon, and T loops).
Source: Rfam by way of RNAcentral